RNAcentral lists this ribosomal RNA (787 nucleotides) under Acinetobacter baumannii. RNAcentral's name for it is "partial 23S ribosomal RNA". It matches the Rfam family "Bacterial large subunit ribosomal RNA", at positions 2162 to 2925 of the family's 2925-position model. The record is from RNAcentral. Lineage: Bacteria; Pseudomonadati; Pseudomonadota; Gammaproteobacteria; Moraxellales; Moraxellaceae.
GCUGGAACGCUAGUUCCAGUGGAGCCGUCCUUGAAAUACCACCCUGGUAAUGUUGAGGUUCUAACUCUGUCCCGUGAUCCGGGACGAGGACCGUGUCUGGUGGGUAGUUUGACUGGGGCGGUCUCCUCCUAAAGAGUAACGGAGGAGUACGAAGGUGCGCUCAGCGUGGUCGGAAAUCACGCGUAGAGUAUAAAGGCAAAAGCGCGCUUAACUGCGAGACCCACAAGUCGAGCAGGUACGAAAGUAGGUCUUAGUGAUCCGGUGGUUCUGUAUGGAAGGGCCAUCGCUCAACGGAUAAAAGGUACUCUGGGGAUAACAGGCUGAUACCGCCCAAGAGUUCAUAUCGACGGCGGUGUUUGGCACCUCGAUGUCGGCUCAUCUCAUCCUGGGGCUGAAGCAGGUCCCAAGGGUAUGGCUGUUCGCCAUUUAAAGAGGUACGCGAGCUGGGUUUAGAACGUCGUGAGACAGUUCGGUCCCUAUCUACCGUGGGCGCUGGAAAUUUGAGAGGAUCUGCUCCUAGUACGAGAGGACCAGAGUGGACGAACCUCUGGUGUACCGGUUGUGACGCCAGUCGCAUCGCCGGGUAGCUAUGUUCGGAAGGGAUAACCGCUGAAAGCAUCUAAGCGGGAAGCCUACCUCAAGAUAAGAUUUCCCUAGGACUUUAUGUCCUCUAAAGAGCCGUUCGAGACUAGGACGUUGAUAGGUUGGAUGUGGAAGCAUAGUGAUAUGUGAAGCUGACCAAUACUAAUUGCUCGUGAGGCUUGACUAUACAACACCCAAGCAGUUG